Non-coding RNA from Malus domestica (apple), 987 nucleotides. The record is from RefSeq and is a predicted model, not a curated record. NCBI's taxonomy places the organism in Eukaryota, Viridiplantae, Streptophyta, Magnoliopsida, Rosales, Rosaceae.
GAAAGACAAAAUAACUUUUCUGAGCAUUUGGACCAUAAUUUUUAAGCAACAAAAUUAAGCUGGAAAUUAAAUUGAGGUAUGAAUGCUUCCCCUUAUUCAGGUUAUUCAAUUGAUCUUUUCCUUUUCUGGAUUUUAUUUUUGAAUGUUGUUUGAUAAAACUAAUUUGGUUUUGUAGAUUAAGAUUUUUAAGCGAGAAAAUCAAGUUGGAAAUUCAAUUGAAAUUGUAAUGAAUUUGCAAAUUUGUCAAGUAUAUCUUACAUUCGUGGUUCCAUAUUCACUUUACCCAUAACUAUUGAAUUUUGUCUCUUGACUGGAUGGAUUUUUAUAGUUUCCAGGAUCUACAAUUGCAAAUCCUUUGAUGGAUAAAACACAGAGGACCAGCUACGCUUAUAGAGCUUCUUUAGCAUCGUAAGUUAAAAUUGCAUAUCAUUUUUUUGCUUCAUGGAAUUCAUUAUGUUUAAUAGUAUACCAAGUAUGUGAUACCAAUUUUUAUCUUAGCAGUUUCUAACAAUUUGUAAAGUACGAUAAAUGUGUAGAAGUUUGAAUUAUACAUAUGAAAGUUUCAUCUAUUAUACUUUUUAACAAUCAUUCACAAGUAAUGCUAUCCAGAGUAAAAAGGUCAUACCCAGUGCACAAGGCUCCCGCUUUACGCAGGGUCUGGGAGAGGUGAAUGUUGGCUAGCCUUACCCCCAUUUAUGGAGAGGCUGCUCCCAAGUCUCGAACCCGAGACCUACCGCUCAUGGGCGAAGACACUUGCCAUUGCACCAAGUGCGACCUCUAAUGCUAUCCAGAGUGAUUCAAAGAAUUUCAAGAGCUUCAUUCAUCCAAUUUAUGUUCUUCAUGUAAAAAUUCUUUCAAUAAGUUCAAACAUCUUUCGGUAUAGAUAACAUUAACAUUCUGUAACAAUAUAUUAUAGCUUUGAAACAUUUUUCCAUACAAUUUAUAAUCCCGCAGCAACGCGCGGGCAAUUAUUUCUAGUACAUUCAA